Molecule: long non-coding RNA, 1550 nt
Organism: Bolinopsis microptera
Lineage: Eukaryota; Metazoa; Ctenophora; Tentaculata; Lobata; Bolinopsidae
Exons: 7
Source: RefSeq, a predicted model, not a curated record
UUGUCACUGUUGCCUCGCGUUAUUCCAUCAUCCAUAUUUCUGCUCUUAGUUGCUUUAUAAUGUGUCAGCAGUAAUCAGCCCUGCUGUAUUAUAUAUUGUGCUUGAUUGUUGAUACCUAAUUCAUUAACUGUUUACGAUGGCAGUUUAUAUGGUGGAUGAUGAUUAAUCACUCUACAAUCGCCUGUCACGUGACUUCUUCAACCCGUUCUGUAGAUGGCCCUAAACAACUAUUCGAAACCCGGAAACCAUAACCCUCUAAUCAGAUCCCAACCCUAACGGCCUAACCCUAACCAAACCCUUUACAAAAGCAUAUACUGAAACACUAUAGAGAAAUUAGGCUAACUUCCUUAUACGGUCAUAUCACGUGAUCGAGACAGUUUUUCGCCAAUAUCUCGUUAGGGGAGAAUUUUAACCUUAUGUCAUGGGGGUAAUAGCAAAUUUUAGUUAAAGAGUAAAUCAAAGUUAGCAAUCAUUGAACUCAAUAGUUAAAAAGGAGAAGCUAAAAGCGCUGAAAGACCAAAAAGCAUCUUCCGCAGGAGCUGUUGAAUCAGCACGCUGAAGAAGUACAGAGACUGGUGAACAAGCUGAUAAACUCAGACAGCAGCAAAAACUUCAAGAUCUAAAAUAGGCCCGGGCUUUUUUAAAAGUUACUGACAUGACGCUGGUCCUCACUUUUUGGAGUCUACUCCCUCAUUUCCAGGCUGAACAGGAAGCUGUACAACAACCGGUCUGACAAGUUACAAGUGGUGGACCUACAUCAUCUAGAUGUACAGGUACAAAUUCUACUAGUACGAUUCGAUGCAGUGGAAGAGGUUGAAGUUGACGUUUAAGCAGUCACCCUGCCGAACAAGAAAUCAGUCAGGCAAAGAGGCUAGGUUGACUAGAAACUCAAUCACUAUAUCCGUGAAACUUGCCGGAAGCUAUGUGUGGAGGUCGGACCGAAACUGUAAUCAGACACUAAACAUUAACGAGGACCAAUUAUUUUACUCCUUUAAUGAUGAAUAAAGAUCGCUGAUUGCUUUUACUAAUAUAUAGUGUUAAAAUGAAAGAGAAACUGUUGAGACGAAAGAGAAAAACGCACUCAUUUAUUUAUAGUUUUAUGUCUUAACAAUGUUAUUCGAAAGCUAAUUUUAAAAGCUGGCUCUGAAUCCUUGCUAAAUGAUUUGGGAAGGUGUAAGGACUAGAUAUGCCUUUAGACAUCAUUUUCAGUGGAUUUUAUGAAGUUUAUGAUUAGGGUAUAUUUUGUGACUGAAAUAAGCGCAAGACCUUCGACGUUUCUAUUCCUACUGUUUUUUUAAUUUAGCAAAUAUACAAAAAAAAAUUAUACUGUCGUAAAGAUAAAAUGUUUAGUUAUCGGAUAGAUACUUUAAAAUUAAGUAUUAAAAUAACCGAGCUAAGAUAUUCAAUGUUAAACUCAAAAAUGUUCACGCGUUUAUGAAGAAAUAUCUAAUUCUGCGCGUAGUUUUUUGGUCACAACUAUGGCAAAUUUUUACCAAUUUUGUUCAUAAUUUCAAAAUGUUAUUUAGUAGACAAAUUACUUUCGGACUAAA